This 3689-nucleotide long non-coding RNA is filed under the name Homo sapiens (human). RNAcentral describes it as "HSALNT0057260". Lineage: Eukaryota; Metazoa; Chordata; Mammalia; Primates; Hominidae. The record is from RNAcentral.
CAGCUCCCAAUAAAAAAUCCUAAACUCUCAGUCUCAAAUAGGAUUCCCUAGGCAGAAACACUGCAUAUGUGGUGUAUUUUUUCUGCUGUAAAGACAGUACACUCUGUGUGAUCCCUCAUGGGAAGAAUAGAGUAUAGGAAACCUGCAUACAUAUUACUCGAGACUCAGAUUGUGUCUUUUUCCCUAACUGAACAAACUGAGUAUCCUGACCAUGUUACCUGUAAAAAUUUGAAACAUGGAAGAAACUGUAUGCUGAGCUUGUGAGUCCUAGUAAACUACUGAGGAUGUGGGUGGUCUUGUGGACUCCUGAAACAGCUGUCAUGUAUUUUAUUUCCACACAUAUCUUAAACUCAAGGCUGAGACAUUAUCUUCAUUAGCUUGGAAAUAUCCUAGGAAACAAUUACAAAACAGUAAAAGGCAAGUACUCUUACGUCCUCAUGAAGAUCCUGGGUGGUGGUUUGCCCAGAGUCCUCAAUUCUCCAGUGAGUAAGAAAAUGUCUUUGAUUUUUCGUUUGCUCAGCUUUUGUCUUGUUGUAAGGAUGCAAUUGAUGUUUUCAGUCUUGUUAUAUGUAGAAACUGAAACUUAAAAGUCAGCUUCAAUUAAUAUUUUCAUUGUUAAUUUAGAAUAUAUUUACUGGUAUUGUGUAGUCACUGUAGUCCAAUGAAUCUUUUCUUAUCUCUCAAAAUAUUCUCUUACCUAUUACUAAUUGUUCACCUUUUCAACCCAUAUAGCCAUGAAUCUUCUCAUGCAUCCACAAUUCAUUUUCAGUGUAAAAUGCAUUGAGUUAUGCGCUGAAUGAUUCACUUAAUAUCCUUGUGUCUCAGUUUCUAAAUAUCUCAAAUGAAAGUUAGAAUGUGGAAUACCAUUCAGGAUUAUUUGUAAGUUAUUUUUUUUCAUGGUUAAUAUUCUAUAUACAGUUGCAUGUAAAGCAACAUUUUAAAAAAGGAAUCACAGUUUGAAUGUUUUAAAGCAGUGGUAUUCAAAAUGCAGUUAUUGAACUAGCAGCUUCAACCUUAUCUAGGAACUUUUUAGAAAUGCAAGUUUUUGAACCCCACACCUGAACUAAAGAUACAGAAACUCUGAAGGUGGGAUGCAGAAUCUGGUUUUAACAGGCCCGGCAGGUGACUCAGAGUCAAGUUAUAAUUGAGAACCACUGAUUUAGAACAGUGCAUCCAUUGUUUUACAUAAUCUUUCUCUAAAUUGUUAUUAAAUUACAUAAUCAUAAUUUAGUGUACAUUUAUUAUUCUUUUCUAUUUGGACUUUCAUAGAUUAGUUUUUAAAACAUGCUUAUAUAUUUACUUAUAAAUAUAGUCAUUUGUAUGAGUAUCUUAAUAGUGUAACUUAGUUCUGUAGGUAUGUGGGACUGUAAGCAGGUGGAUCAUUCAGUAUGCCUAAAGAUUCAGUUGAAAGCAAGUGUCAAUAUAAAUGGAAAGGAGUCUAUAAUGAUAUGAGGCUUCAUGAGCAUGGAUUUUUUAAUGAAUUUGUAGUACAUGUUUAGAGUUUGAACUUCCACAUUGACACAUGUAAACAAAAUUAGGAUCAAAUUACCGGUUAUGAUUAUUUCAAUUUAUAGAUGUGAACAUAAUUGGAACUUUUUUUUCUAACAGGCUUAACAGCCUUUUCCUGUUACUGAGUAAACAUUUGUGUGAUAUUGUGCUUUACCACAGACAAAUAAUCCCAUAUUUUCUCUGCAUCUAUGCCUACUUGUUUUCAAUAUGCUUAAUAUCUGGCAUAGAUCAACAUUUAUGUCAAAGAACACAUUAUUUUCUCAGGUGGGAAAACUUUAAAAAGAUAACCUUAGAGGUUUUCCAUAGAUAAACACUUCAGGUGAGGUUAAGGAUAAGACAACUGAUUGGUAAUUUGUGAGCAAAUAAUUUUUUGAUAAGAUUAGAAAAGUUUGUUAUAAAUUGAGGUAGAUGUUGAGAAAGAUGAAGUCAAGAUUUUCUAUAACACAUACUAUUGUGAUUCCUUUAUAAAGCAACUAUUUAUAUGAUAUAUCUCACAUCAAAUCCAUCUCCUCCACUGUGUCUGCACCAAUCACUUUCUAUGUAAAAUUGGUUAGGAUGUAAAGCAUUAAGUAUUAUACAACGAGUUAUUAAUAUUUUAAAAUACUGAUUCAUCUCUCUAGAGAUACAAUAUAGUAGGGAACAUUUCUAUUAAAACAAUUUAAAAUAAUAAUAAAUAUAAUCACCUCACUUUAGACUAUCUGAUGAGAAUGAACCUAAUUUGAAAAGCAGUAACUUAUCAAAAGAAAUCAUAGCUUUCCAUCCUUUCUAUUAUUUUCCUUGUGUCCUGAGAAAAAAAUAAAAUAAGACUUACUGGUUUCAUGAUAUUUUUAUAUUGUGCAUUAAUGAUGGGUUUCACGUGGUGAUGGUAGCUUAGACUGAGAGGCAUUGUUCACUUUUAGAACCACAUUGAUUUUUUUUCACAUCUGUUUUAUGAAUCACAAAAGCUAAAGCCAUAAUGUGUUAGCAAAAGGGUACUGGUAUAAUUUACAGUAAAACAAUGUUGACCUGAAAAGAAAAAGCUGGUGGUAUUUAUAUCAAUAUGUAGAGUAAUUCUUGAACUAUAUUAGCAGUUCAAUAAAUACUAUUGAAUAAAAAAUAAUACAAUUAAAUGUGUAAUCAUUUGCUUAACAGAAUAUGUACAUGGGAUAGAUUAGGAAUGUAAAUAAUAAUAAAACCUAAAAUUAAUUAAGAAACACAUUAUUUACAAUUAAUUUCUAAAUAAAAUAAAAAAAUACUAAAAUAUUAAAAUAUUUCAUGUUUUUAAAUCUAUACCAUGACAAAGUAAUAGCUCAUCUGGGCCUGGUGUGGUAGCUCACGCCUGCAAUACCAGCACUUUUGGAGACCGAGGUGGGCAGGUCACCUGUGGUCAGGAGUUUGAGACCAGCCUAACCAACAUGGUGAAUCCCUGUCUCUAUUACAAAUACAAAAAAAAAAAAAAAAUGGCCAAGCAUGGUGGCACCCAUCUGUAGUCCCAGUUACUCGGGAGGCUGAGAAGGAGAGUCGCUUGAACAGAGGAGGCAGAGGUUGCAGUGAGCCAAGAUCGCUCCACUGCACUAUAGCCUGGGCAACAGAAAGAGACUCUGUCUCAAAAAAAAAAAAGAAAAAAAAAGAAGUCAUAGCUCAUCUGAUUUUACUCAGAGAAUAAUAAAAUACAAAUAAAUCUUAAGGGGUCCCAUGACCUUCUGAUCUUGUUUUCCCUUGCGAGGAUGGCCAUAUUUUCCAUUAAACAUUGAUUUAAUAACUAAUUUUAGGAAGUUACUCUCCUGAAAACAUGCUACCAUGAGCUGUAGUCCUCUUAGUGCCCACUCUUUCUCUUUGGAUAAGAGGUUAAUAAAUUUGGAAGAAUAUAUUAAGCAUGGAACCCCUUGCUCUGUAUUAAUAAAAUACUAUGCCCACAGAGAGGGAAAUUUGUUUCUUUCUUCUUCAGGGACAGGUCUGUCUGUGGCAGAGACCUACCCACAUUCAGGGAAGAUAAAUAUGUAUGUUAAAUUCUGGGCUUUCUAUUAGAAAGUAUAGUUUUCCGUAAAUAGCAGCAAUACAAUCUAACCUACAGAUAAUCAAUAAUUACACCUCACUCCCUUUUAUGAAAUACUUUUUGUACUUGGCUUCCAAGGGACUACUUUUGACUCUCUUUUCUGUCAUGAAAAUUUUACGUGAAAUGUGAUAUGCACAAAUGUGAA